GUACUUUCAGUGCCCGAGUUGUAAUUUGUAGAAUUUGUCUUUGAUUAGGUCCUUGUCUAUGUUCCUUGGAACAGGACGUCAUAGAGGGUGAGAAUCCCGUUUGGCGAGGAUACCUUUUCUCUGUAAGACUUUUUCGAAGAGUCGAGUUGUUUGGGAAUGCAGCUCAAAGUGGGUGGUAAAUUCCAUCUAAAGCUAAAUAUUGGCGAGAGACCGAUAGCGAACAAGUACAGUGAUGGAAAGAUGAAAAGAACUUUGAAAAGAGAGUGAAAAAGUACGUGAAAUUGUUGAAAGGGAAGGGCAUUUGAUCAGACAUGGUGUUUUUUGCAUGCACUCGCCUCUCGUGGGCUUGGGCCUCUCAAAAAUUUCACUGGGCCAACAUCAAUUCUGGCAGCAGGAUAAAUCAUUAAGAAUGUAGCUACUUCGGUAGUGUUAUAGCUUUUUGGAAUACUGUUAGCCGGGAUUGAGGACUGCGCUUCGGCAAGGAUGUUGGCAUA
Molecule: ribosomal RNA, 494 nt
Filed under: Hanseniaspora uvarum
Lineage: Eukaryota; Fungi; Ascomycota; Saccharomycetes; Saccharomycodales; Saccharomycodaceae
Description: LSU rRNA
Rfam family: Eukaryotic large subunit ribosomal RNA
Source: RNAcentral